GGGGAGGUUCGACUCGAGCGAAGCGAGAGAACGUUGCGCCAGCAACGGCCCGCAGGGCGAGCCACGAAGUGGCGAGUAAUCCUCUAUCACCGACCA
Molecule: small RNA, 96 nt
Filed under: Escherichia coli
Lineage: Bacteria; Pseudomonadati; Pseudomonadota; Gammaproteobacteria; Enterobacterales; Enterobacteriaceae
Also listed under: 1 other name
Description: partial RtT sRNA
Rfam family: RtT RNA
About the family: This family represents a bacterial cis-regulatory element known as RtT RNA. The exact function of RtT is unknown although it is thought that it may be involved in changing the cellular response in relation to amino acid starvation.
Source: RNAcentral